RNAcentral lists this unclassified non-coding RNA (301 nucleotides) under Funneliformis mosseae. RNAcentral's name for it is "partial contains 5.8S ribosomal RNA and internal transcribed spacer 2". The stretch from base 1 to 71 matches the Rfam family "5.8S ribosomal RNA", at positions 84 to 154 of the family's 154-position model. The record is from RNAcentral. Lineage: Eukaryota; Fungi; Glomeromycota; Glomeromycetes; Glomerales; Glomeraceae.
GUGAAUCAUCAAAUCUUUGAACGCAAAUUGCACUCCCUGGUAUUCCGGGGAGUAUGCCUGUUUGAGGGUCGUUAGAACAAAAAUCGAAGGGUCGCUCUUUUUUUUAAGGGUGAUCGCGUCGGAAUUGAGCCGUCUUUGAAAUGUUAAUUCAUGUCAAAGUGGCUUAAAAUUCAUCUAUCCGGUACGAUUAAAGCGUAUUUAAGAUCAAUUUUGAUUAAGAACGAGCGAUGAACGUACCAUCGCAUGUAGUACGUUUGACUUGAAGUCGUAGGGAUCAUUUCGUAUACGAUGCUCAACUUUU